UAGCACUGAGGUCGGAAAUGGCUCCCGACCCUCCUUUGUAUGAGAAUGGUACAAGCGUCUGCCUAUGAGGCUAUAUAGAUAAUGCAUGAGUUCCGACAAUCCGCAAGGUAACCUGAUAUGCAGGAUACGUCGCCCUGUCAGUAAAU
Molecule: non-coding RNA, 146 nt
Filed under: unclassified sequences
Description: skipping-rope RNA
Rfam family: skipping-rope RNA
About the family: Firmicutes, Fusobacteria, AlphaProteobacteria, Spirochaetes.
Source: Rfam by way of RNAcentral